RNAcentral lists this ribosomal RNA (460 nucleotides) under uncultured bacterium. RNAcentral describes it as "partial 16S ribosomal RNA". It matches the Rfam family "Bacterial small subunit ribosomal RNA", at positions 338 to 795 of the family's 1533-position model. The record is from RNAcentral.
CCUACGGGAGGCAGCAGUGAGGAAUAUUGGUCAAUGGACGAGAGUCUGAACCAGCCAAGUCGCGUGAGGGAUGAAUGCACUGUGGAUUGUAAACUUCUUUUAUCUGGGAAUAAAACAGGGUAUGCAUCUCCUCUUGUGUGUACCAUAUGAAUAAGGAUCGGCUAACUCCGUGCCAGCAGCCGCGGUAAUACGGAGGAUCCGAGCGUUAUCCGGAUUUAUUGGGUUUAACGGGAGCGGAGGUGGAUUGUUAAGUCAGUUGUGAAAGUUUGCGGCUCAACCGUAAAAUUGCAGUUGAAACUGGCAGUCUUGAGUACAGGAGAGGUGGGCGGAAGUCGUGGUGUAGCGGUGAAAUGCUUAGAUAUCACGAAGAACUCCGAUUGCGAAGGCAGCUCACUGGACUGCAACUGACACUGAUGCUCGAAAGUGUGGGUAUCAAACAGGAUUAGAUACCCCAGUAGUC